RNAcentral lists this ribosomal RNA (483 nucleotides) under uncultured bacterium. RNAcentral's name for it is "partial 16S ribosomal RNA". It matches the Rfam family "Bacterial small subunit ribosomal RNA", at positions 30 to 506 of the family's 1533-position model. The record is from RNAcentral.
AUUGAACGCUGGCGGCAGGCCUAACACAUGCGAGUCGAGCGGAUGACGGGAGCUUGCUCCUUGAUUCAGCGGCGGACGGGUGAGUAAUGCCUAGGAAUCUGCCUGGUAGUGGGGGACAACGUUUCGAAAGGAACGCUAAUACCGCAUACGUCCUACGGGAGAAAGCAGGGGACCUUCGGGCCUUGCGCUAUCAGAUGAGCCUAGGUCGGAUUAGCUUGUUGGUGAGGUAAUGGCUCACCAAGGCGACGAUCCGUAACUGGUCUGAGAGGAUGAUCAGUCACACUGGAACUGAGACACGGUCCAGACUCCUACGGGAGGCAGCAGUGGGGAAUAUUGGACAAUGGGCGAAAGCCUGAUCCAGCCAUGCCGCGUGUGUGAAGAAGGUCUUCGGAUUGUAAAGCACUUUAAGUUGGGAGGAAGGGUUGUAGAUUAAUACUCUGCAAUUUUGACGUUACCGACAGAAUAAGCACCGGCUAACUCUGU